CUGGCGGCGUGCCUAAUACAUGCAAGUAGAACGCUGAAGAGAGGAGCUUGCUCUUCUUGGAUGAGUUGCGAACGGGUGAGUAACGCGUAGGUAACCUGCCUUGUAGCGGGGGAUAACUAUUGGAAACGAUAGCUAAUACCGCAUAACAAUGGAUGACACAUGUCAUUUAUUUGAAAGGGGCAAAUGCUCCACUACAAGAUGGACCUGCGUUGUAUUAGCUAGUAGGUGAGGUAACGGCUCACCUAGGCGACGAUACAUAGCCGACCUGAGAGGGUGAUCGGCCACACUGGGACUAAGACACGGCCCAGACUCCUACGGGAGGCAGCAGUAGGGAAUCUUCGGCAAUGGGGGCAACCCUGACCGAGCAACGCCGCGCGAGUGAAGAAGGUUUUCGGAUCGUAAAGCUCUGUUGUAAGUCAAGAACGAGUGUGAGAGUGGAAAGUUCACACUGUGACGGUAGCUUACCAGAAAGGGACGGCUAACUACGUGCCAGCAGCCGCGGUAAUACGUAGGUCCCGAGCGUUGUCCGGAUUUAUUGGGCGUAAAGCGAGCGCAGGCGGUUUGAUAAGUCUGAAGUUAAAGGCUGUGGCUCAACCAUAGUUCGCUUUGGAAACUGUCAAACUUGAGUGCAGAAGGGGAGAGUGGAAUUCCAUGUGUAGCGGUGAAAUGCGUAGAUAUAUGGAGGAACACCGGUGGCGAAAGCGGCUCUCUGGUCUGUAACUGACGCUGAGGCUCGAGAGCGUGGGGAGCGAACAGGAUUAGAUACCCUGGUAGUCCACGCCGUAAACGAUGAGUGCUAGGUGUUGGAUCCUUUCCGGGAUUCAGUGCCGCAGCUAACGCAUUAAGCACUCCGCCUGGGGAGUACGACCGCAAGGUUGAAACUCAAAGGAAUUGACGGGGGCCCGCACAAGCGGUGGAGCAUGUGGUUUAAUUCGAAGCAACGCGAAGAACCUUACCAGGUCUUGACAUCCCGAUGCUAUUUCUAGAGAUAGAAAGUUACUUCGGUACAUCGGUGACAGGUGGUGCAUGGUUGUCGUCAGCUCGUGUCGUGAGAUGUUGGGUUAAGUCCCGCAACGAGCGCAACCCCUAUUGUUAGUUGCCAUCAUUCAGUUGGGCACUCUAGCGAGACUGCCGGUAAUAAACCGGAGGAAGGUGGGGAUGACGUCAAAUCAUCAUGCCCCUUAUGACCUGGGCUACACACGUGCUACAAUGGUUGGUACAACGAGUUGCGAGUCGGUGACGGCAAGCUAAUCUCUUAAAGCCAAUCUCAGUUCGGAUUGUAGGCUGCAACUCGCCUACAUGAAGUCGGAAUCGCUAGUAAUCGCGGAUCAGCACGCCGCGGUGAAUACGUUCCCGGGCCUUGUACACACCGCCCGUCACACCACGAGAGUUUGUAACACCCGAAGUCGGUGAGGUAACCUUUUGGAGCCAGCCGCCUAAGGUGGGAUAGAUA
This 1453-nucleotide ribosomal RNA is filed under the name uncultured organism. RNAcentral's name for it is "SSU rRNA". It matches the Rfam family "Bacterial small subunit ribosomal RNA". The record is from RNAcentral.